Non-coding RNA from Camelina sativa (false flax), 4838 nucleotides. NCBI's taxonomy places the organism in Eukaryota, Viridiplantae, Streptophyta, Magnoliopsida, Brassicales, Brassicaceae. The record is from RefSeq and is a predicted model, not a curated record.
AAAAAAAAAAAAAAAACAAAAAAAAAGUUUGAGCGAGAGAGAGAGAGUGAGAGAGAGAGAGAGCGUUCUCUAGCUAACGGCGUUGGGUCUCCCUCGUCAUCAAGCGCUCUCGUCGAUGAUGAUUUUUGAAGAAGGAGGAAGAACACAAAUUAGGGUUAGUGUUGAUGAUGACUCAAACAACAACAACGGACAUCGCAACAAACCAUCUUCUAAUUCUCUCUAUUUGCGGGUCGUGGUUUCAAUUAUAAACGCCAAACGAUGUCUGACAUGGUUUGAACUUUGAAGGUGAAGACGAAGAAGAAGACUCUUGACUCCUUGAGGAACAAACCCGUCAGAUCACACAGAGACGUCUUCUAUUUCUUUGACGAAAGGAGUUUUUAAGCAGAUCGGAGAUGGUUUGAAGAAUGAUGAAGGAUACUCAAUACUGCUUAGGGUUUUCUUUCUAUCAUCAGCACCACAAUCCAUAAGUGAAGACCGAGAGAAUGAUCAGUUUGAAUCAACGAUGAAGAGGAAGAAGACUCACACUGCCCCGACACCAUAAGUAUUAGACUGAUUUGACGACAGCCAAGUAAUAAAGAUCAGAGAUGGUUUGAAGAAUGAUGAAGAAGACGACUCAAGACUGUUUAAGGACUUUCAUCUUUAAACAUUGGCCAAGUAACCAGCCUGCAUACAGGAAGACAGGAAUCUUCUAUUGCUUUAACAAAAGAUGUGUCUAACUAAGCAGAUCCAGAGAGGUAUGAUUUGAAGAAUGAAUGCAACUUUCAUUAUAAAAACUUGGCCGAGGGGCGUGCUCACGGUUCUGAUUCUUUCCUCCGAUGAUCGGAGGUAUGUUGUUUGGUUUGAAGAAUGAAGUUCCUUUUCCUCCGAUGGAGAAAAAUGCUCUGUUUUCUCUAUCGGAGGUAUGUGGUUUGGUCUCUAGAAUGAAUGGAGGAAAAUUCUCUGUUUUCUCUAAACUAAAUCUUCAAACAAUGGCAAGGACUAACCAGCAUGCAUGAGACAUAUUCAAUAGCUUCAACGGAAGUUUCUAAGCAGGUACGUAGCUUCACAAGGAUCUAAGCGGAAAGAGGAUGUUGCUGCACAAGCCGGAAUUGUUGUUAAGGCGAAAGUGAGUCAAAAUUUGAAGUUCUGACCCGCGGAUGAUGAUGACCCUAACAACAAGAAUAGUAAAAACCCUCUUCGUAUGAAUUAGCUGGAGGAUACGCUGGGCAAGUGAUGGAUGAUUGGAGGAGGACGACGUUACAUGUUCAUUUCCAUGACGUUUCUAUCAUCUGAUUUGACGAGGACCAAGUAAACAAGAUCAGUUUGGAUAACGAUGAAGAAGUAGACUCAGAUUGGUUAAGGAAUUUCAUCUUUAAACACCGGCAAGGGAGGGCUAAGUAACCAGCCAGCAUACAGAGAGACAUCUUCAAUUGCUUUAACAAAAUAAAUGUCUAACUAAGCAGGUCAGUUUGAAUAACGAUGAAGAAGAAGAAGACUCACACUGCUUAAGGUUUUGUUUCUGUCAUCAACACCACAAUCCAUCAGAGAUGGUUUGAAGAAUGGUGAAAAAGACGACUCAGACUGCUUAAGGUUUUGUUUGUUGUUUCAAGGAUUUUUAUCUUUAAACAAUGGCAAGGGAGGGCUAAGUAACCAUCCUGCAAUACAGGGAGACAUCUUCAAUUGCUUUAAGUAAUGAACCGCAGCAACAAUUCAGAUCGGAUAGAAAUACUGAUAUAUGUUUUCUUUUAUGGUUCGUGUUGUGUUGCUGCGGUUCUCUAGAUUGAGAUAUUAUAUGGUUCCUUUACCUCCGAUGGAAAAAAUCCUCUUCUUGCUUUUGCAGCCAGUCUAUUGGAAGGUGUCCUAGAAUUGUCGUCACCACUAUCAUUAACAGACUUUCAGGCGUUAGAUCAGAGAUGGUUUCAAGAAUUAUUAAGAAGACGACUCAGACUGCUCAAGGAAUUUCAUCAUCCUUAAACUAUGGCAAGGGAGGGCUAAGUAACCAGCCUGCAUUACAGAGGGACAUCUUCUAUUGCUUUAACUAAUGAAGUGUCUAACUAAGCAGAACAGAAAGAUAUGGUUUGAAGAAUGAACGCAGUUUCAUAAUAAAAACUUGGCCGAGGGGCGUGCUCUCUCACGGAUCUGAAGCGGAGAGAGGAUGCUGCUGCACAAGGAUCUGAAGCGGAAAGAGGAUGCUGCUGCCUAAGAUCAGUUUGAAUAACGAUGAAGAAGAAGAAGACUCACACUGCUUAAGGUUUUGUUUCUGUCAUCAACACCACAAUCCAUCAGAGCUGGUUUGAAGAAUGGUGAAGAAGACGACUCAGACUGCUUAAGGUUUUGUUUAUUGUUUCAGGGUUCACUUUCUUCCCUUUAACGAUGAUGAAGAAGACUCUGACUGCUUGAGGAACAAACCCGUCAGCUCACACAGAGAGAGGCAUCGUCUAAAUAGAUCACAGAGACAUGUAACCAAGCCACAUCACACAGAGACAUCUUCUAUUGCUUUAACGAAACAAGUGUUUUGAGCAGAUCGGGGAUGGUUUGAAGAAUGUUGAAGAAGAUGACUCAAGACUGCUUUAUGGUGUUUGUGUUUUUGUUGGAAGCGAAUCAAUGGAGGCGCUAACUCCACCCGCUUCUGAAUUUUCACUCCUCAUCCUCAUACGGUUAGCAACGUGGCGGCGGACCUACAGGUUCGACGGCGGAAGAGGCCAUCCCAAAGCCGGUUUGUUACUUGUUCCCAACGCACCGAAUCAACGAGACAUGUGGGCUUCGGACAACAACGAAUGGGCUUUUUCUUUACCAAACAACAACAGUCCAUCAGCAUAAGAGCAACGAAGAGACCACCCACCAAGCACAAGGGUUUGUUGUUUGUUUGUUACUCUCAUUCUUUAACUUCAAAUACCGGUCUUCUCUUCUUUGUCUUGGCCGCGCCGGAGGAGAAGCAAGUCGGAAUUCAAAUUUGAAACAGAUUGCAAAAAACCGUAUGAAGAAGCUACAACUAACGAACGAACGCGAUUGUGUCUGCUGCUUUGUUUGACAUCAUCAGGAUGGAGUUUUUGGUUGCCUAUGUUGUUGUUACUUGGGAGAUUUAUAACGAAGCAAAGACGCGUCCUUGUAUUUUGCCAUUAUAACUCAGAUUCCAGUUUCAAACGCCACUUGUCUUACCACCAGUUUAUGUUUAUCUAUGUUCUUCUGUAAUUAAUUGUAGAUUUUACUUUGGAUUUUGUGUUCUUUUUUUCUUUUUAUUUCCAGCUAUAAUGGUGGACUGGACGACAUGAUUGACACAGCAGCAGGCAAUAGCUAAGCUCUUACAUCAUAGUGCAGCUGUGCAAAUGCCCAUUGGUCUAGAAGAAGCUUUCCAGGGUCUUAUAGACCUUAUUCAAUGAAAAUGUUCUGGCUGGUGAUAUUCCUGCUGAUAUGGAAGGUUUGGUUGCAGACAAGAGGCGAGAAACGUUUGAAACAGUCUCUGAAGUUGAUGAUCUAAACGAUGAGCCUCUCUAUCUAAAGGUAACCUUGGCUGGAUCUCCAGAUGGACCUCUUGUGGCGCUUGCUUUUAAACUAAUGGAGGGUCGUUUUGGUCAGCUGACAUAUUUGAGAGUUUAUGAAGGGUGAUUUUAUCAUAAAUGUCAAUACUGGAAAAAGAAUUUAAGGUCUUCUGGGGUUUGGACAAAACCGCUUACCCAGAGAAAACAUUAUUCCUCUGUUAAUUAGUUGAUUUCCUACUCAAAGUAUUCAACGGCAUUGGAAUCUUUCUAUGAGAAGUUCGAUCCAGAUUUCAUCAACAUCAGGACAAAGGCCAUAGAGGGUGUUUUUGGAAGCUUAUUAUUUAUGAUCCGAUCAUCCCCGCUUUUGAAUUUUCACUACUCCUCCUACGGAUCUGCUAAGUUUGGGCUCCUCUGAUGCACAAGGCUGGACAUGUGGUUUGUUUAGUUGUUUCCUCCUCUUUCCCUUUGCAAUGGUGUUCAUAUUUUAGGUGUUGGAGUGUCCAUGAAUAAGAAUCGUAGCAUCUCCAUCUUCAGCUACAACCCCCUGAUAUCAACAAAUGGGUGGGUGAGGCUGAAAAGCUAGUUAAAACGCUAUAUCAAGCUACAAUAUCCAGGCAACCUUCUGUGAUAUUCAGUUACUGUGGUGUUACCCUUGUUUAAACUGGGAACAGUUCUUCCUGAACGUCAAGUAACUCUUGAAUGCAGACCUUCUUUGAGAACACUUUGAUGAAUCACCAUGGGGAAUAUUACUUACGUUGCUCCAGCUGGUCAUUGGUCAAUAUUCCCUUGAGGAAACAGUUGAUGAUGUACUCACAGAGAAAUUUAUAAACGAUGAGCCUGUAUCGGCUUUUGAGGAAGAGAUGGUUCCGGAUAAUAGAUAGAUAUCGUUGGCAACUUAUGUUAUUGAAAUUGUUGAUUUCACUUAAAAAGAUAUCAAUCCUGAACGAAUGUUGAAACGCCCCCGAUCGCAGAAAAACUAACCCUCUCUGGACUAAGGAGGGACUAUUGUUGGACAUGGGCUGCGCCCAAUAUGCCACUAGGCCCAACAAGACAAACUAACUGCGAUUUCAGCCCGACAAAAUUGGAUGCAAAUCAUUAAUAAUCCGUAAAGGCUAAUCUCGGGAAUUUACGACAGAAACUCUAGAGAACUCUCGGUCAACAGUCCUCUAUAUAAAGAAACAGUACUCGUUGGGGAAUAGACAUCUGACUCGCGUACAAUACCUCUAGAGCAAUACUUUGCGUCUAAGAACUGUUAUUAUUUUCUGUAUAAUUCCUUUUAGCUUCCGAGCUUGUCAUUAUUAGCUUGUUAGCUUAAUCUUGACUCGUUUUAGUGACGACCUCACGUCUUUAUCGUUAAUAAAAAAAUCAAUUUCACUCUUC